AAUGGGCGCAAGCCUGAUCCAGCCAUGCCGCGUGAGUGAUGAAGGCCCUAGGGUCGUAAAGCUCUUUCGCCUGUGAAGAUAAUGACGGUAGCAGGUAAAGAAACCCCGGCUAACUCCGUGCCAGCAGCCGCGGUAAUACGGAGGGGGUUAGCGUUGUUCGGAAUUACUGGGCGUAAAGCGCGCGUAGGCGGAUUAGUCAGUCAGAGGUGAAUUCCCAGGGCUCAACCCUGGAACUGCCUUUGAUACUGCUAGUCUUGAGUUCGAGAGAGGUAAGUGGAAUUCCGAGUGUAGAGGUGAAAUUCGUAGAUAUUCGGAGGAACACCAGUGGCGAAGGCGGCUUACUGGCUCGAUACUGACGCUGAGGUGCGAAAGUGUGGGGAGCAAACAGGAUU
This 392-nucleotide ribosomal RNA is filed under the name uncultured Gammaproteobacteria bacterium. Its description in RNAcentral is "bacterial SSU rRNA". It matches the Rfam family "Bacterial small subunit ribosomal RNA", at positions 370 to 779 of the family's 1533-position model. Lineage: Bacteria; Pseudomonadati; Pseudomonadota; Gammaproteobacteria. The record is from RNAcentral.